AUACUUACCUGGCAGGGGAGAUACCAUGAUGACGAAGGGGGUUUUCCCAGGGCGAGGCUUAUCCAUUGCACUCCGGAUGUGCUGACCCCUGCGAUUUCCCCAAAUGUGGGAAACUCGACUGCAUAAUUUGUGGUAGUGGGGGACUGCAUUCGCGCUUUCCCCUU
This is a small nuclear RNA of Otolemur garnettii (small-eared galago), 164 nucleotides long. Its record names the gene U1. It matches the Rfam family "U1 spliceosomal RNA". Rfam says of the family: U1 is a small nuclear RNA (snRNA) component of the spliceosome (involved in pre-mRNA splicing). Its 5' end forms complementary base pairs with the 5' splice junction, thus defining the 5' donor site of an intron. Lineage: Eukaryota; Metazoa; Chordata; Mammalia; Primates; Galagidae. The record is from Ensembl.